AUCUAAAAAGCUAGCCCAAAGCCUUAAUUAAAGACCAAAUAUUACUAGUAAUUAAAAACCCAAGGAUAUUAAAUAAAUCAUUUUUCCUCCAUAGUAUGGGAGACAGAAAGGGACUAAGGAGCUAUAGACAAAGUACCGCAAGGGAAAGCUGAAAGAGAAAUGAAAUAAAUCAGUCAAGAGAAGUAAAGCAGAGUUUAACCCUUGUACCUUUUGCAUCAUGAAUUAGCCAGUUUAAUCAAGCAAAAAGAACUGUAGUUUGAAACCCCGAAACUUAGUGAGCUACUUCAAGACAGCCUGAAUAACAGGGCUAACCCGUCUCUGUGGCAAAAGAGUGGGAUGAUCUUCAAGUAGAGGUGACAGACCUAUCGAACUAAGUUAUAGCUGGUUGCUCGUGAAAUGGAUAGAAGUUCAGCCUUUUGCUUUCCUAAAUUUAAGUCUAGCAUUACUUAAUACAAAUGACUAGGAAUCAAAAGAGUUAAUCAAAGAGGGUACAGCCUAUUUGAUGGAAGAUACAACUUUACUAGGAGGCUAAAAAUCACAAUAUUAAAG
Molecule: ribosomal RNA, 549 nt
Filed under: Oryzias latipes (Japanese medaka)
Lineage: Eukaryota; Metazoa; Chordata; Actinopteri; Beloniformes; Adrianichthyidae
Description: partial 16S large subunit ribosomal RNA
Rfam family: Bacterial large subunit ribosomal RNA (bases 186-549)
Source: RNAcentral